Molecule: ribosomal RNA, 1566 nt
Filed under: Triticum aestivum (bread wheat)
Lineage: Eukaryota; Viridiplantae; Streptophyta; Magnoliopsida; Poales; Poaceae
Description: partial small subunit ribosomal RNA
Source: RNAcentral
AUGGACGCAGGUAGUUGGUCUGAUCUACCGCCGGAUCUGGCCCGCGAGAUCUCUGGCCGCCUGCAGCACGACGCCGUCGACUUAGCCCGCUUCCACGCCGUCUGUAAGCCAUGGCGAGACUCCCGGACGACGACGGCGGCGGGCCAGUUUCUGCCCUGGCUCGUCGCAGCGGUGGAGGAAGACGCCACGCGCCUCGAGAUGAGAUGCGUCCUCUCCGGCUACAACUACCGCUCGCAGCCGCUGCUGGCUGAGCCGGCCUGGUGGAAUUGGGUGACCAGCUCCGGCGGCACCGCCCUCUGGUGCCUGGCCAUCGAACGCCUCCGGCCUAGUCUCCAUGACCCUCUCACCGGAGCGGCCGCACACCUGCCUCAACUCCCGCAAUCCCUCGGUCUGUGGGGGAAGGAUAUCGAUCCCCACGGAGUCAUCUACGAAGACGGCGCAACCCUUCUCUACAGCAUCUCCAGCGCCGGGUCCAAUGCCACGUUCAGGGCAGCUCUACAUCGCCCCGGCGACGCAGAGUGGACAAUCAUCGAGAGGACCCUCGAGCAUCCCGCCUGGAGCUGGUCACCUCGUCCACCUGUUCUGUCGUGUGUCACAUACCACGAUGGUAAGAUCCUGGUCGUCAUGAAGCCUGAUCAAUGGCGCCUUGUCACACCAAACAGCAAUAUGGCCCGCGAUGAGCUUGUUGAGAGCCAGGAGACGCCUAUGGUGCAGGUGUGGUUUGGUGAAUCCACAUACAAAUACGAUUACAGCUACGUGCUUGAGUCUCGUGGUGAGAUUCUAUGGGUGUCGGUUAAGACCCGGGAAUAUGACAGGUAUCGCAUGGGGCCUGACCCCUGCCUUCUCAGCGUCAAGGUAUCAGUGCAGGCACUUGAGGAGCCUCUGUUGUACGAAUCAUCGGCACUCGAGAAGAUGAGAUGGGUGAGAAGGGAUGGCCGUAGUCUCGCCGACCGCGUGCUGUUCCUCGGUAGGCGCCAUAGCUUUGUUGUGGAUGCAGGCCGGGUGCCCAACGGCCACGGCGGGUGUGCCUACUUUAUCUACCACCAUAAUAGCGCCUUGACACAAGAGAAGCGUGGCGUGUUCAGGUGCAACCUCAUCGACGGAAAGACCGAGCUUGUACAGCGGCUGCCUCGAUGUUGGGACUACAAAAUGUGCCUGUGGUUCAACCCCGAGUCCAUCAUUACUCCUCCUCAGGAAAUCAGUGAGGGGUCACCAAAGCAGCAGAUAGCUCCAAUAAUUUCUAGUCUUCGACGACACAACAUUAACGUUGAGAGACAUCAUGUUCCCAGUUUUACAUUGCUGCUGCGCAAUCUGCCUCUUACGGUGAAGACCACUCAGCUACGGCUCUUUUUCAGCGAGCAUGGUAAAGUGUCCAAUGCUGAGGUGAUUUGCUAUAAGAAGACCAGGGCCUCACAGGGUAUUGGCCAUGUGACCAUAGAGACGACACAUUCCCAUCUGGAAGAUGCUCUUGCUGCUCUCAAUGAACUGGUUUUGGAUGGAUGCCAUCUCAAGGUUAGCUUGAUUAAGGAGGGGCAGCCACCACAACGUCGGCGUCGGCACAGAUAG